RNAcentral lists this ribosomal RNA (675 nucleotides) under uncultured prokaryote. RNAcentral describes it as "bacterial SSU rRNA". It matches the Rfam family "Bacterial small subunit ribosomal RNA", at positions 28 to 692 of the family's 1533-position model. The record is from RNAcentral.
AUUGAACGCUGGCGGCAGGCCUAACACAUGCAAGUCGAGCGGUAACACAGAGGAGCUUGCUCCUUGGGUGACGAGCGGCGGACGGGUGAGUAAUGCCUGGGGAUCUGCCCGAUAGAGGGGGAUAACUACGGGAAACUGUAGCUAAUACCGCAUAAUGUCUACGGACCAAAGUGGGGGCUCUUCGGACCUCAUGCUAUCGGAUGAACCCAGGUGGGAUUAGCUAGUUGGUGAGGUAAUGGCUCACCAAGGCGACGAUCUCUAACUGGUUUGAGAGAAUGACCAGUCACACUGGAACUGAGACACGGUCCAGACUCCUACGGGAGGCAGCAGUGGGGAAUAUUGCACAAUGGGCGCAAGCCUGAUGCAGCCAUGCCGCGUGUGUGAAGAAGGCCUUCGGGUUGUAAAGCACUUUCAGCGGGGAGGAAGGGUUACUAGCUAAUACCUAGUAGCAUUGACGUUACUCGCAGAAGAAGCACCGGCUAACUCCGUGCCAGCAGCCGCGGUAAUACGGAGGGUGCAAGCGUUAAUCGGAAUUACUGGGCGUAAAGCGCACGCAGGCGGUUUGUUAAGUCANAUGUGAAAUCCCCGAGCUCAACUUGGGAACUGCAUUUGAAACUGGCAAGCUAGAGUCUUGUAGAGGGGGGUAGAAUUCCNGGUGUAGCGGUGAAAUGCGUA